UGUUAUCUCAUAGAAUAAUAAGCCUUAUC
RNAcentral lists this non-coding RNA (29 nucleotides) under Rattus norvegicus (Norway rat). Lineage: Eukaryota; Metazoa; Chordata; Mammalia; Rodentia; Muridae. The record is from RNAcentral.